UACGUAGGGGGCAAGCGUUGUCCGGAAUUAUUGGGCGUAAAGCGCGCGCAGGCGGCUAUUUAAGUCUCAUGUUUAAACCCAGGGCUCAACCUUGGGGCGCAUGGGAAACUGGGUAGCUUGAGUGUAGGAGAGGAAAGUGGAAUUCCACGUGUAGCGGUGAAAUGCGUAGAGAUGUGGAGGAACACCAGUGGCGAAGGCGACUUUCUGGCCUAUAACUGACGCUGAGGCGCGAAAGCGUGGGGAGCAAACAGG
This 252-nucleotide ribosomal RNA is filed under the name uncultured bacterium. RNAcentral's name for it is "partial 16S ribosomal RNA". It matches the Rfam family "Bacterial small subunit ribosomal RNA", at positions 524 to 776 of the family's 1533-position model. The record is from RNAcentral.